This is a small nucleolar RNA of Nannospalax galili (Upper Galilee mountains blind mole rat), 124 nucleotides long. Lineage: Eukaryota; Metazoa; Chordata; Mammalia; Rodentia; Spalacidae. The record is from Ensembl.
ACAACUGAAAAAUUAAAUUUCCUUGGUCAUGGCCUGGUGAGAUUUGGCACCCAGAACCACCAGAAGCCUCAGCUCACCUCUGGCUGCCACGGUGUGGGAGGAUGAAACCCAGGCCCUGACAAGC